This 1639-nucleotide ribosomal RNA is filed under the name Triticum aestivum (bread wheat). RNAcentral's name for it is "partial small subunit ribosomal RNA". The record is from RNAcentral. Lineage: Eukaryota; Viridiplantae; Streptophyta; Magnoliopsida; Poales; Poaceae.
GGAAGAGACAGGGGAGGGAGGUCCGGUCCGGUCCGGUGGUUAUUUGGCUGGGGGAGCCAGCCAAGGAGAGCCAAGGACGCGCGGGAUCGGGUCUGCCGUCACCACCACCGCCUCCGCCCGCCUGCGUCGCUCUCCGGCCCCGUGCCGUCCCCCACCCCCACCAUUCCUCCUCUCCUCUCCGGCCCCUCCAAUCCAAUCCCGCCGAAUCCACUCCUCCUCCUCCUCGUCCCCCUCCCGCGGCCUCGCCUCGAUCCGGAAGGAAUCUCCGGCCGGCCUCCCUCCCUCCAAUUCCGCGCCCAACUCCCCAGCUUGGGGCCAUUUUGGAAUCGUCCUCCCUCGAGGCGUCUGUCUCGGCCCCAAAGAUCCAAUUCGGUUGGAUUUCUGCUCCCGAGCCGGAGCCCGUCCGGAGGCGCACGACCUGAGACCGGCGCGGAGGGAGUUGAUGCCACCCGGCGAUGGAUCGCCGAGCCUUCAGGAGUAACUCGUGCAACAGCAAGAACACGGCGCCUCCCCCCUCGCCCUCGGCGGCGUCGGCGGCGGUGUACCGGACGUCCUCGGCGCCGGUGGGGGGCUCCAAGGACAACGUCGGCGAGCGCAAGGCGCUGCUGCCCCGGCGCCCCGAGGGCGGCACGGCCCGCAAGGCCUACAAGGGCCCCAAGCGGCGGGUGCAGUGGAAGGACACCCACGGGAAGAAGCUCGCCGAGGUCUUGGAAUUCCAGCCUAGUGAUUCAAGUGACUCGGAUGAUGAUUAUUUGGAUACUUGCAUAUGCUCAGUCAUGUAAAUACCGCAGGGCUGAAUCUCCGGUGCAUCUUGCGCAGGUGGAGAGUACGAGUGUUUAGCAAGAGCUGUAUCUUAAUGUUAUGCAUUGGCCUAACAGUCUUGUAUAGAAAAAGGUUCACUCCAACAGGCUCAAACUAUCUCAUGUAGAGCAAGUCAGGGCUGCGACCUAGCAAGGACUGGCGACGACGAGCCCAUAUCAUCUGUUGAAUGCGCAAGCAGCAGGAAGUUGCGUCAGAAUUUUGAGAUAUCGCCACGCAGCAGUUAGAAAGGAAAAAAAAAAGGACACGCGGUGUUCUCAGCAGCAGCCUUGCUCUCUUCCUGACGAGUAACGUUAUGUGUCAUAAGCAAAAUGCUCUUAGAAUCAGACACCGACAUGUCUUGCGCGGCUGGAAUUGCGACCGAUUUUUUGUCAAUAGUAGUGUCUGCCUCUUGGCAUGUUAACUAACUAGCUGAUGUUCCUGUCUGUCUGUCAGUCUGAUGCUGUCAUCACACGCUUAACAUUAUUCUUGCAUGACUUGAUGUGUGAUGGAUGCUGUAAUUCCAAAGUGCAAGGUUUGUCACAUUCCUGUGCCCUGUUGGGCAGUUCACUGUCAUCAAAAGGGGCCUCUCUUUUUUAUUUCUGCAGAAGAUGAACUUCUCAUCAAAGCUCCAGUAAUUUACCGCCUUGUUCACCUCAAAAGAAAAAAAAACACCACCUUGUAUGUUGUCAUACAUUUUUUUACACCUUUUAUUUUAAACAUCAUGUGUAUUGAUUUUCUUCUUGUAAAUAGUUACUUCCUGACAUGUGAUACAAGAAAGCUAAAUUCUGUACCCGCAAAAAAUAAAGCUAAAUUCUACACAGAAAAAGGUUUAUUUUAG